UAUAACGAGCUUAAGCUUAAAACCCAAAGGACUUGACGGUGUCCCACCCACCUAGAGGAGCCUGUUCUAUAAUCGACACUCCCCGCUUCACCUCACCAUUUUUAGCCUCUCAGCCUGUAUACCUCCGUCGCAAGCUUACCCUAUGAACGUAUUAGUAAGCCCAAAGGUUCACCCACCAGCACGUCAGGUCAAGGUGCAGCUCAUAAAAUGGAAAGCAAUGGGCUACAAUUUCUAGUAUAGAAUAAACGAAAAACUGUAUGAAACACAGUAAUGAAGGCGGAUUUAGUAGUAAAAAGAAAAUAGUGUGUUCUUUUUAAUCAGGCUCUGGGACGCGUACACACCGCCCGUCACCC
This 353-nucleotide ribosomal RNA is filed under the name Arthroleptella bicolor (Bainskloof moss frog). RNAcentral's name for it is "partial 12S ribosomal RNA". It matches the Rfam family "Bacterial small subunit ribosomal RNA", at positions 878 to 1402 of the family's 1533-position model. Lineage: Eukaryota; Metazoa; Chordata; Amphibia; Anura; Pyxicephalidae. The record is from RNAcentral.